UAAAGGAAGUUGACGGGGCCCGCACAAGCGGUGGAGUAUGUGGUUUAAUUCGAUGCAACGCGAAGAACCUUACCUGGUCUUGACAUCCCGGAGACCCUUAGGAAACUAGGGGGUGCUUCCAUCUGGAAGAAUCUGGAGACAGGUGCUGCAUGGCUGUCGUCAGCUCGUGUCGUGAGAUGUUGGGUUAAGUCCCGCAACGAGCGCAACCCUUGCCUUUAGUUGCCAGCAGUUCGGCUGGGCACUCUAAAGGGACUGCCGGUGUUAAACCGGAGGAAGGUGGGGAUGACGUCAAGUCCUCAUGGCCUUUAUGACCAGGGCUACACACGUACUACAAUGGCCGAUACAAAGGGCAGCGACACUGCGAGGUGAAGCCAAUCCCGUAAAAUCGGUCUCAGUCCGGAUUGGAGUCUGCAACUCGACUCCAUGAAGUUGGAAUCGCUAGUAAUCGUGGAUCAGCAUGCCACGGUGAAUACGUUCCCGGGCCUU
RNAcentral lists this ribosomal RNA (486 nucleotides) under uncultured Desulfobulbus sp. RNAcentral describes it as "bacterial SSU rRNA". It matches the Rfam family "Bacterial small subunit ribosomal RNA", at positions 902 to 1382 of the family's 1533-position model. Lineage: Bacteria; Pseudomonadati; Thermodesulfobacteriota; Desulfobulbia; Desulfobulbales; Desulfobulbaceae. The record is from RNAcentral.